This 437-nucleotide long non-coding RNA is filed under the name Vigna radiata. RNAcentral describes it as "long non-coding RNA (VRAD_LNC006398)". Lineage: Eukaryota; Viridiplantae; Streptophyta; Magnoliopsida; Fabales; Fabaceae. The record is from RNAcentral.
GGGAUAUGGUAGUUGGACAUUGUCCCUUGUUGCCUUUUUCAUCCUGUUUCGAAUGAGAUGCCCUGAUGGGUGUCGCGGCCCAUACAAAUUUAAUUGCAUAUUAGAAAUGCAGUAUAGCUAGGAAUGACUCCUAGGUCGUCUCUCAAGGACCAAACUGUGGUUCGAGUCUCAGGUCAAACACGAAGUGGGGGGGGGAGUUUGUGAAAAGUUUGUGAAUGCGGACGAAUUAAAUCAAAGGACGGAUGCAAACAGAAAUGUAAAAAUAGAAUUGCAAAACGAAAUCACAUACAGAAUAAAAAUGGUUGGUCAUUAACUUAAUUACAAUGUUUCCUAUCACAAAUCAACAAAAUAAAGUUGUGACUCAAACCUCUAAUCCAACAAAGUUAACCAACUAAGCGAAGGUUAACCCUGUUUUCAUAAAAGCGAACUAAGCGAAC